This 460-nucleotide ribosomal RNA is filed under the name uncultured bacterium. RNAcentral describes it as "partial 16S ribosomal RNA". It matches the Rfam family "Bacterial small subunit ribosomal RNA", at positions 338 to 795 of the family's 1533-position model. The record is from RNAcentral.
CCUACGGGAGGCAGCAGUGAGGAAUAUUGGUCAAUGGACGAGAGUCUGAACCAGCCAAGUAGCGUGAAGGAUGAAUGCCCUAUGGGUUGUAAACUUCUUUUAUAAAGGAAUAAAACGAGGCACGUGUGCCUUUUUGAUUGUACUUUAUGAAUAAGGAUCGGCUAACUCCGUGCCAGCAGCCGCGGUAAUACGGAGGAUCCGAGCGUUAUCCGGAUUUAUUGGGUUUAAAGGGAGCGUAGAUGGGUUGUUAAGUCAGUUGUGAAAGUUUGCGGCUCAACCGUAAAAUUGCAAUUGAUACUGGCAGUCUUGAGUACAGUUGAGGUAGGCGGAAUUCGUGGUGUAGCGGUGAAAUGCUUAGAUAUCACGAAGAACCCCGAUUGCGAAGGCAGCUUACUAAACUGUGACUGACAUUGAUGCUCGAAAGUGUGGGUAUCAAACAGGAUUAGAUACCCGUGUAGUC